Molecule: ribosomal RNA, 1365 nt
Filed under: uncultured bacterium
Lineage: Bacteria
Description: bacterial SSU rRNA
Rfam family: Bacterial small subunit ribosomal RNA
Source: RNAcentral
GACGAACGCUGGCGGCGUGCCUAAUACAUGCAAGUAGAACGCUGAAGGGAGAGCUUGCUCUUCUGGAUGAGUUGCGAACGGGUGAGUAACGCGUAGGUAACCUGCCUGGUAGCGGGGGAUAACUAUUGGAAACGAUAGCUAAUACCGCAUAACAUUGACUAUUGCAUGAUAGUCAAUUAAAAGGUGCAAAUGCACCACUACCAGAUGGACCUGCGUUGUAUUAGCUAGUUGGUGGGGUAACGGCUCACCAAGGCUACGAUACAUAGCCGACCUGAGAGGGUGAUCGGCCACACUGGGACUGAGACACGGCCCAGACUCCUACGGGAGGCAGCAGUAGGGAAUCUUCGGCAAUGGACGGAAGUCUGACCGAGCAACGCCGCGUGAGUGAAGAAGGUUUUCGGAUCGUAAAGCUCUGUUGUAAGAGAAGAACGAGUGUGAGAGUGGAAAGUUCACACUGUGACGGUAUCUUACCAGAAAGGGACGGCUAACUACGUGCCAGCAGCCGCGGUAAUACGUAGGUCCCGAGCGUUGUCCGGAUUUAUUGGGCGUAAAGCGAGCGCAGGCGGUUAGAUAGUCUGAAGUUAAGGCUGUGGCUUAACCAUAGUACGCUUUGGAAACUGUUUAACUUGAGUGCAGAAGGGGAGAGUGGAAUUCCAUGUGUAGCGGUGAAAUGCGUAGAUAUAUGGAGGAACACCGGUGGCGAAAGCGGCUCUCUGGUCUGUAACUGACGCUGAGGCUCGAAAGCGUGGGGAGCAAACAGGAUUAGAUACCCUGGUAGUCCACGCCGUAAACGAUGAGUGCUAGGUGUUGGGUCCUUUCCGGGACUCAGUGCCGCAGCUAACGCAUUAAGCACUCCGCCUGGGGAGUACGACCGCAAGGUUGAAACUCAAAGGAAUUGACGGGGGCCCGCACAAGCGGUGGAGCAUGUGGUCUAAUUCGAAGCAACGCGAAGAACCUUACCAGGUCUUGACAUCCCGGUGCCCGUCCUAGAGAUAGGAUUUUGCUUCGGCACACCGGUGACAGGUGGUGCAUGGUUGUCGUCAGCUCGUGUCGUGAGAUGUUGGGUUAAGUCCCGCAACGAGCGCAACCCUUAUUGUUAGUUGCCAUCAUUUAGUUGGGCACUCUAGCGAGACUGCCGGUAAUAAACCGGAGGAAGGUGGGGAUGACGUCAAAUCAUCAUGCCCCUUAUGACCUGGGCUACACACGUGCUACAAUGGCUGGUACAACGAGUCGCAAGUCGGUGACGGCAAGCUAAUCUCUUAAAGCCAGUCUCAGUUCGGAUUGUAGGCUGCAACUCGCCUACAUGAAGUCGGAAUCGCUAGUAAUCGCGGAUCAGCACGCCGCGGUGAAUACGUUCCCGGGCCU